CGAGGCAGGUGAAGCGCAGGGCGGGGAGUGGGAUUACACUGUCGGAGGCAUCCGACCAAAUCCGGUGGAGAUUCGGCCAACUUCUCCAUCCUGCAGUCGGGCAGGGGGCUGACGAACCAGUGCAGCCGAGGAAACAGCAGCCCUUUGCACUUGCUGGUACUACUUCCUGGUAUGCUCUUCAUCCCGAUCAUUGCUUGUCAUGUUCCCUCAUUUUAUUCAGAUGAGCACAUGCUGAGUCCCCACUCCACGGAGCCCGCAUGAACCUCUGGACCUCUGACCCACCUGCCCACUUCUUUCCUAAAUUUUGACUUCUGAAAAGAUCAACACAGCUAAACCACUUCAACCUGGCAGGGAGAGGCCCCUGCCUUGGCAUAUCCCUACCCACUGGAGCCCUGACUUAGCAGAAGUUCUCAUCAUGGGAGAUCCAGGAAAGUCUCUGAAAGAAGAUGCCGAGGUUCCCAGGAACACCUUUCCUGAGUCUGUGCUAUGAUUAGGGCAUCUUUGUUUUAUGCAUCUACGUGAAGCAGACAUUUUUGGCAAUGCCUUUAUUCUACAGAACGCCAGCUAGGUCUAGGGCUAAGAAAAGCACCACGUUUAUAUGCCCACAAAUUUUCUCAAUCAUGAGCAAAUUAUUUGCUCCUCGCCCCAUGAAAAAAAUGAACUUUCUCUUUUGAGAGUUUGGAGAAAAUAAAAAAGAGAAAUUAACCAAUCAAAGAGAGCUUGGACAAUAAAGUGAACAAAGACAUUUGCUUUCCAAAAGCGUGUUUAAAUAUUUUAUCUAGAAAAAUCUUCCCCAAGUUAUAAAUAGCGCCUAGCUAUCAGUUCCAGCAUCAACCUCAGAGAAGUGCUUCCAGCUUUAUGACUGAGUUUGUGUGCCUGUGGCCAAAUGGAUUUGGAAUGGAAACUUUUUUUUUUUGUCAUCUGGCUUAUUGUUGUUUCCUUCUGUGGCCACGUAUUUGUCUGGGCCAUGGGAUUACUCAAUCAAUCAAAUAUUUAUUGAGUAACCAGACAACCAAUGGAAAAACUAGACUUGGAUCAUAUUGUACAGAUCAUACUAUCUGUCUUAAAGUCUUAAGGCAGUUGUGCUCACUAAUGGUCAUCUCUUUUUUUUGGAGCUUAGAAAAGGAUCCAUUUGGAAAAAGAGAAGUCUCCAUGCAGAAGCAAAUACAUUCCUAUGACUUUUGGCAAACAAAAUAUUCGCAAAUUCCGUCGCCCCGUUCUAAUAUCUAUUUAUAAAUGUUUCUCUCCAUUCUAGAGGUUUUCUCUGUAAUAUGUGGACCAUGCCAUGACAUCCUUUAAAGCUGGAAGUUUUGAGAAUUAAAUUCUGGUUUCCUUAAUUUACUAUAGGAAUACGUCCCUAGAGACUGUAAGUCCAACAUAAAUGAUGUGUGUGUCGGAAGGCGAGUAUAUACACCCUUAUGUUUUUUGCUAAAUGGGUGUAGAGUCACGAGUGCUAUUUAUCAGUAUUUCCGCGUCUCCUCUUUUUCGGGACGUGAAAAGAUGUCAGUCGUCUGCCCACUUGAAGUUAGGGUGGUAGGCCAGCUGACUGCUUCGGCCAGUGAAAUGUGAGCAAAACUGAGAGGUGCCCCUUUUGGGUAGGUGGUCAACUUCUCAUGUUCCCUUCCAUCUUCCAUGAUAGUUGGUAAUGUUCUAGCCGGUAGAGAUUUUAUCAGCAUGCAUCCAGAGGAGAGAAUAAAAUAAAGAAGGGUCCCGCACUGACCUGAAAUGGACAUGUAGCAAGAGAGGGAAAUAAUGUAUUCUAGGCCACUGAAAUAUCAGGGUUGUUUUUCCUCUAGCAUAGCUUUGCAUAUGCUGAAUAAUACAAAAAUCGGUCUAUAGAAGUGGGCCACUGCUAUAGCAAAGACCUAAAACAAAUGACCUAAGGGCCAGGUAGGGGGUGGCAAGGACACUAUGCCUGCAGUAAUUUGGGACGUACAUUUUACUCCUGCAGCAGGGACCAGUGAAAACCCAACCCUGCAUCAGGGGACCCAUGAAGGGUAUGGCCAUCAUACUCCUUGUUAACACCCGUCGAUGAAUUAAGGUGUCUUUGAGCAAAGUUCCAUUAAUGGUGUGGGGUCCAAAAAAUCUUCUCACUUGCACAGAAUGGCUUGGGGAAAAGAGACAAAGUACAUACUCAGCUCUCUCAUUGAAGCCUGAUGGCCUCGGGGAGUUGAAAUUAAACUGAUAAACAGAGUCAUGGGAGCAAAAAAGCAAAGAAAUACAGUAAACACGAGAAUUCUGUCUCAAAAAGAACUGUGGCUAUUGCCAUGUGGAGCUGAUGGGAAGACGAUACAUGAGAAGCUGUUUUUGACAAAAGAAGUAUUAAUCAGGGGUACCUGGGUGGCUCAGUCGGUUGAGCGUCCAACUUCGGCUCAGGUCAUGAUCUCACAGUUUGUUGGUUCAAGCCCUGCAUCAGGCUCUGUGCUGACCACUCGCUCAGAGCCUGGAGCCUGCUUUGGAUUAUGUGUCUCCUCUCUCUGCCUCUCCCCCACUCACGCUUUGUCUCACUCUGUUUCUCAAAAAUAAAUAAAUGUAAAAAAAAAAUUUUUUAAAAGAAGUAUUAAUCAGCCUGGACAAAGCAGGUGGUGGUUAUUUAAGACUAUGACUUUGAGGGGCACCUGGGUGGCUCAGUCAGUUGAGCGUCUAUUUUGACUCAGGUCAUGAUCUCAUGGUUUGUGAGUUUGAACCCCACGUUGGGCUGUGUGCUGACAGCCUGGAGCCUGCUUAAGAUUCUCUCUCCCUCUCUCUCUUUGCCCCUCCCUCGCACACGUGUGUGUGUGUGUGUGUGUGUGUGUGUGUGUGUGCUCUCUCUCAAAAUAAACACACUUAAAAAAAAGAACAUGACUUUGGGUCUGUAAUCAACUAAAAGCAGGAAGUGGGCUGAGAGAGCUGCUCUUCCCAGGGAGGACGUAUUAUCGGCGCCCACUUCAAAUGCGGCCAGAGAAGAACGAAAAAGGAAAACUUUCAGAAGUUGUAGCCAGACUUCAGGAGGACGACUGGCCGAGACACCUUUUCCCAGGAAGCAAUAGGGGAACACAAUCGAGGAACUUGCCCUCACCCUGGGAAGAGCCCUCAAAUGUGCCUGCCCCGUGGGCGUUAGAAUUGCUGUGGACCAGUGUCCCCCACUGCCUCUCUCGUCCACGCUAUGUGUGAAUGGAGGCACUUAACUGUAGUUCACGUGUACUUGUUCUAUCGUUGAAGGGUGGUUGUGGGGAGGGCAGAAAACUUGACUUUCUCCUUCGUGGGUCCCUGAAGCAGAAGGCACCAUAUCCAGACCUGUUGUAAAAAUGGCUCUGCAUCUCCCCAAGUCCUGGGUGUAGAACCAAAAGCCACGUCGGGAUGAAACUUGCUGUCGGUAUUCCUUGGAGGAAGAGACGGGUGUAUUUUACAGAAAGAAAAGUGAGCUGAGUGUCCAGUAGCAAAAAAGGGCAGACUUUAGCAGCCGUUGGGAUUGUUCGAUAUUUCUUGUUUUUUCUCUUUCUAAGCUUAAAAGGAAUACAGCCAUCUUGCCACCUUGACGUUCAGCAGGCCGUGUGACUUGCUCUGGCCCAUGAAACACAAACGAAAUGAUCUGCGUCGUUUUCAGGCAGAAGACUUUCAGACGCAGUAUUUGACUUGCUUUUUUCCCUUUCCCCUGCCAUGGCAACCAGCGAAGUUCCAGAAGGUGGAGGCUCUGGAAGCCUCGGUUCCCAAGUGAGGACAACACAGAGUAGAGAGUCUUGCCCACCCAACAUGGACAUACGGCACCAAUGAAAAAUAAAUCUUCAUGUUUGUUACUGCAGUAUAAUUUAGCUGAGGUUGACUAAUACAGGUGAACAUGUUUAAAUUGAAUAUUAAAAUCUGAAAAGACUGGGGCGUCUGGGUGGUUCAGUCGAUUGAGCGUCCGACUUUGGCUCAGGUCAUGAUCUUGGGGUCUGUGAGUUCAAGCUCCGCGUCGGGCUCCGUGCUGACAGCUCGGAGCCUGGAGCCUGUUUCGGAUUCUGUGUCUCCCUCUCUCUCUGCUUCUCCCCGGCUUGUGCUCUAUCUCUCUCAAAAAUAAACAUUAAAAAAAUUUUUAAUCUGAAAAGGCUUUCCUCAUGGAUAAAAGCCAGUGUCCCUUCACAGGUAAACUUGCUUUUUACUGAGCACUUAUGCUUGUUGGUUCUCAUAUAUUUCUGUUGAGAUUUUUAGUGAAACAAAUGAUCUACUGUUUUAAAGCACCUCCUUAUAAGAAUACCAUAGAUUCAGUUAUACAUGCCCUGUCGGGUAACAUGUUUUUUGCUAAUUUCUUUUUUUUUUUUAAGUUUAUUUGUUUUUGAGAGAGAGAGAGAGAGAGUGAGCAAGGGAGGGGCAGAGAGAGAGAGGGAGAGAGAGAAUCCUAAGUAGGCACCAUGCUAUCAGUGCAGAGCCCGACGCGAGGCUCAGUCCCACAAACCGUGAGAUCAUGACCUGAGCCGAAAUCAAGAGUCGGAUGCUUAACGGACUGAGCCCCCACCCAGGCACCCCAAAUUUCUUGACACUUGUAUUAUGUCAGUAUUUAAUAAUAUAUUCAAUUUUACUUGUUUAAAAUUCACCUGUUCACAAUAUGGUACAUGAUAUAUAUUUAAAAAAAUUUUUUUUAACGUUUAUUUAUUUUUGAGGGAAAGAGACAGAGCGUGAGUAGGAGAGGGACAGAGACAGAGAGGGAGACACAGAAUCUGAAGCAGGCUCCAGCCUCUGAGCUGUCAGCUCAGAGCCCCAUGCGGGGCUCGAACCCAUGAGUGGAGAGAUCAUGACCUGAGCUGAAGUCGGACGCUCAACCGACUGAGCCACCCAGGCGCCCCCCCACGAUAUUUUUAAACAUAUGAAAGAGACAUUUGUUUUCCCAUAUUUAUAGGAAGACGAGAGCUGCCCUUGAAGCAUCUGAUACGGAUGAAAUUAAUACCUGCUGCACAUCCAAUCAGCUCUCGGCCUUGGGUUACAAAGUUGUCACUGGUUGGUAACGGCAAGUAUACAGACUCAUCUAGGGAAAAAAAUCUUUUUCCGACUGUAAGGAUGGGUGCCCAGUGUCUAUCGUAUGCGUGAUUUUGCAAACGAUACGAAAACAUUCUUCAAAUGAAUACCUCAUUUCUCUUUAUCCAAAGUCGGACUCAUCACAUUUACUUCUGUGUGAGCUUAUCUGUGGGAAGUUAAGAUACCGGCCUUCAGGUUUGUGGCUGGCUGGUGAUCUAAUUUACUUCCGGGAUAUGGCUUACAGAACCUAGAGAAAUGGACAAUUAACGUAUUUCCUUCAAAUCCCAGGUGUUUACAGCGAACUUCUCUGACAAACGCCUGAAGUGUGUGCAUCUUCUCUGUUUCCUCCUCUCUUGUGAAUAUUGUCUCUGCAGCUUGGAACGACCCCUUCUCCAACAGUCAGAAUCCUUCCUGUCGUCAUAGGUCCGGCUCCAACGCUAAUUCUUCACCCAACGGUUGACAGAGGCAGUAAUGAAAAUGAUAGAUUACAUUUUUAACUAGAAGUCAGUAUUAUUUAGGUUCCCAUGUGCCAGGUGCUGGGCAAAUGCUUUGGGUGAUUAUCUCAUUUAAUUCUUAUUAUAAGCUUAUGUCUUGGAACUGUUAUUAUCCGCAUUAGUCAUUCUUUGGCUCAGAAUUCCAUAAUUAUAGCAAUGCUCUAUCAUGCCUUUGCAACAGACAUACCUGGGUUUGAUUCCUAGCCCUAAAACUCACUAGACUAGCUGUGUGACCUUGAACGCAUUAUUUAACUUUUCUAAACCUACCUGUACGAGAAUGAAAAUAGCUAACAAGUCACGAGCGUGCCUGUGGUCCUGCAAUGCUCCUUCCUCCACACGCCAGGGUGCCCAGUGCCUCCCUUUUGUUUUAAAUCCCGUGUCAUCUUGGUUCUUGGCUUACUCUUUUAUUUCGGUGGAACACAUGUUCCAGAUGCUUUCCGAGAAAGUAAACAUGAGCCAGAAGCCUGUGUUCGGGAGACCUCACGUGUCUGCUGUUUUAUUUAUUUGAAUGCUUCUUUAAGAGGCACUUAGAGCCUCCUCUUUCCGACCUCUUCACGGUUCAUCCAUGUUAAUCAGCUUGUUUCUGGAUUUUUCUACCAACUUAGGCUGAUUUUCUUUGGUUCAUCAAGUGCAGCACUAUUUAUCUGAGUGCUUUGCUGCCUUCUGAGACUGUGCGUGUGGCUGUUCUCUCUCCAUAGUCUCUUUGUCCUGUGGGUUUAUGCUUCUUUUUACAUCUCUUUAUUGUAAUGCAGUGCUGUUGGGGUUUUAGCAGGAACACAGAUACCCACAAAUAUUCCACCCACUAUCUUGGACCAGAAGUAAGGACUGUCAUUAUCUUCACAUGAAAAUUGGGAAGCGUGACUGGUGUUCUCAUCCAUCCAGAGGGUUACCUCUUUUAUUUAAAGGAAGAGUUGGGGUGGGAAGUUAAGGAUUUCCAUGUGGGACAAGUUGAUGUUAAAGUUCCCAAGGGACAUUCAGAUUGAGAUUUCUCAGAGACCUUUGGAUAGAAGAGCCUGGAGCUCAGGAGAGAGUUCCAGGUUAGAUAAGGAUGUAUGCAGGCUUCAGGAGGGAGGGGACAGUGAGAACGUGUGGGGACAGCAGUGGAUGGAGGACAGAAUAUCAGUAAGCGUCAAACAGAUGACAGCAUUUUGUAAGGAUUAGAUUAUGACCCAGGCUCUUGUUUUGUUUUGCUACUCCCCAAUUUCUGAGAUUAAAAAAAAAAAUCUUUUA
This is a long non-coding RNA of Acinonyx jubatus (cheetah), 6695 nucleotides long. RefSeq lists it as uncharacterized. The record is from RefSeq and is a predicted model, not a curated record. NCBI's taxonomy places the organism in Eukaryota, Metazoa, Chordata, Mammalia, Carnivora, Felidae. The transcript is spliced from 3 exons.